GAUGAACGCUGGCGGCGUGCUUAACACAUGCAAGUCGAACGGGAAUUACUUUAUUGAAACUUCGGUCGAUUUAAUUUAAUUCUAGUGGCGGACGGGUGAGUAACGCGUGGGUAACCUGCCUUGUACAGGGGGAUAACAGUCAGAAAUGACUGCUAAUACCGCAUAAGCGCACAGGACCGCAUGGUCCGGUGUGAAAAACUCCGGUGGUAUAAGAUGGACCCGCGUUGGAUUAGCUUGUUGGUGGGGUAACGGCCCACCAAGGCGACGAUCCAUAGCCGGCCUGAGAGGGUGAACGGCCACAUUGGGACUGAGACACGGCCCAGACUCCUACGGGAGGCAGCAGUGGGGAAUAUUGCACAAUGGGGGAAACCCUGAUGCAGCGACGCCGCGUGAAGGAAGAAGUAUCUCGGUAUGUAAACUUCUAUCAGCAGGGAAGAAAAUGACGGUACCUGACUAAGAAGCCCCGGCUAACUACGUGCCAGCAGCCGCGGUAAUACGUAGGGGGCAAGCGUUAUCCGGAUUUACUGGGUGUAAAGGGAGCGUAGACGGAUGGACAAGUCUGAUGUGAAAGGCUGGGGCUCAACCCCGGGACUGCAUUGGAAACUGCCCGUCUUGAGUGCCGGAGAGGUAAGCGGAAUUCCUAGUGUAGCGGUGAAAUGCGUAGAUAUUAGGAGGAACACCAGUGGCGAAGGCGGCUUACUG
RNAcentral lists this ribosomal RNA (702 nucleotides) under uncultured Lachnospiraceae bacterium. Its description in RNAcentral is "bacterial SSU rRNA". It matches the Rfam family "Bacterial small subunit ribosomal RNA", at positions 28 to 731 of the family's 1533-position model. The record is from RNAcentral. Lineage: Bacteria; Bacillati; Bacillota; Clostridia; Lachnospirales; Lachnospiraceae.